GAGCCGGUAAUGAGGAGCAACUUUCGAGUAGCCAUGAGGGUAAUGCGCCUUCCCAUAAUGUUGUGGCGAGAUUUAGGUCAAAGGUCCUGGCAAGCCAGGGUCCUAUGGACGGUUUAGCUACAUUGAUUUUGGUUGGAAGGCGGACCUGUUUGUGUGAAAGACUGUCCUCAGCAAAGCGAACCCCUCUCGAUAGGGGUGACUCAUCCACCCGUGACUAUCUACCUUUGUUGCUUUGGCGGGCCGCCUCUGAGGCGGCGGCUUCGGUCGCCUGCGCCUGCCAGAGGACCCAACACUCUUUUUGUUUAGUGAUGUCUGAGUACUAUAUAAUAGUUAAAACUUUCAACAACGGAUCUCUUGGUUCUGGCAUCGAUGAAGAACGCAGCGAAAUGCGAUAAGUAAUGUGAAUUGCAGAAUUCAGUGAAUCAUCGAAUCUUUGAACGCACAUUGCGCCCCUUGGUAUUCCGAGGGGCAUGCCUGUUCGAGCGUCAUUAUGACCAACUCAAGCUCAGCUUGGUAUUGGGGCUCCGCGGUCUCGCGGCCCCUAAAAUCAGUGGCGGCACCGCCCGGCUCUAAGCGUAGUAACUUUCUCGCUAUGGACCCCGGGUGGCUGCUCGCCAGCAACCUCUAAAUACCCACGGUGACCU
RNAcentral lists this ribosomal RNA (644 nucleotides) under fungal sp. JH 83. Its description in RNAcentral is "eukaryotic LSU rRNA". The stretch from base 335 to 488 matches the Rfam family "5.8S ribosomal RNA". Lineage: Eukaryota; Fungi. The record is from RNAcentral.